Molecule: non-coding RNA, 99 nt
Organism: Gymnopus androsaceus JB14
Lineage: Eukaryota; Fungi; Basidiomycota; Agaricomycetes; Agaricales; Omphalotaceae
Source: the annotation of a GenBank genome assembly
GCCCGCCUUAGCUCAAUCGGAUAGAGCGUCAGACUUUUAUAGCCUGAAAAUACAAUAUAACUGAUCUGAAGGCUGCGAGUUCGACCCUCGCGGUGGGCU